GGAUAUGAUGGCAAUCUGGCAACAUCUGUCACCCCAUGGGUCAAUUUGGCUGAUGUGACUGGCUAGGCUGGUGUCCCCUUCCUCCCUCGCCACUCCCUGUACAUCCUUCCUGAAAUUGCAGGCUCGGUUGAAGAGGACCAUCUUUCCUGAUAGAGGAGGAUUGUUCUUUGGUCAAGGGUUUGGGAUUAGCUGCACUCUCCCACUAGAACUUUCCAACAGGCUCUCAAGGUCCAUUUGUAGUGGAACAUAAGAUAGUCAAGCUUCCAGGAUUCAAGACACAUCCAAAUGAGGUGCUGCAUGUGGCAGUCUGCCGUUCUUU
Molecule: unclassified non-coding RNA, 319 nt
Organism: Panthera pardus (leopard)
Lineage: Eukaryota; Metazoa; Chordata; Mammalia; Carnivora; Felidae
Gene: 7SK
Rfam family: 7SK RNA
About the family: 7SK was discovered as an abundant small nuclear RNA in the mid-70s but a possible function has only recently been suggested. Two independent studies have found that 7SK RNA binds the CDK9/cyclin T complex (known as elongation factor P-TEFb).
Source: Ensembl